RNAcentral lists this ribosomal RNA (638 nucleotides) under Leuconostoc mesenteroides. Its description in RNAcentral is "bacterial SSU rRNA". It matches the Rfam family "Bacterial small subunit ribosomal RNA", at positions 51 to 672 of the family's 1533-position model. Lineage: Bacteria; Bacillati; Bacillota; Bacilli; Lactobacillales; Lactobacillaceae. The record is from RNAcentral.
AUACAUGCAGUCGAACGCACAGCGAAAGGUGCUUGCACCUUUCAAGUGAGUGGCGAACGGGUGAGUAACACGUGGACAACCUGCCUCAAGGCUGGGGAUAACAUUUGGAAACAGAUGCUAAUACCGAAUAAAACUUAGUGUCGCAUGACACAAAGUUAAAAGGCGCUUCGGCGUCACCUAGAGAUGGAUCCGCGGUGCAUUAGUUAGUUGGUGGGGUAAAGGCCUACCAAGACAAUGAUGCAUAGCCGAGUUGAGAGACUGAUCGGCCACAUUGGGACUGAGACACGGCCCAAACUCCUACGGGAGGCUGCAGUAGGGAAUCUUCCACAAUGGGCGAAAGCCUGAUGGAGCAACGCCGCGUGUGUGAUGAAGGCUUUCGGGUCGUAAAGCACUGUUGUAUGGGAAGAACAGCUAGAAUAGGAAAUGAUUUUAGUUUGACGGUACCAUACCAGAAAGGGACGGCUAAAUACGUGCCAGCAGCCGCGGUAAUACGUAUGUCCCGAGCGUUAUCCGGAUUUAUUGGGCGUAAAGCGAGCGCAGACGGUUUAUUAAGUCUGAUGUGAAAGCCCGGAGCUCAACUCCGGAAUGGCAUUGGAAACUGGUUAACUUGAGUGCAGUACGGGUAAGUGGAACUCCGG